RNAcentral lists this ribosomal RNA (402 nucleotides) under uncultured prokaryote. RNAcentral's name for it is "bacterial SSU rRNA". It matches the Rfam family "Bacterial small subunit ribosomal RNA", at positions 355 to 774 of the family's 1533-position model. The record is from RNAcentral.
UAGGGAAUAUUAGUAAUGGGCGAAAGCCUGAACUAGCAACACCGCGUGUGCGAAGAAGGCCUUCGGGUUGUAAAGCACUUUUUGAGAGGAUGAGGAAGGACGGUACUCUCAGAAUAAGUCUCGGCUAACUACGUGCCAGCAGCCGCGGUAACACGUAGGAGGCAAACGUUAUCCGGAUUUACUGGGCGUAAAGCGCGUGUAGGUGGUUUGGUAAGUAGAGCGUGAAAGCUCCUGGCUCAACUGGGAGAGGUCGUUCUAAACUGCCGGACUAGAGGAUGGUAGAGGGAUGUGGAAUUCCGGGUGUAGCGGUGGAAUGCGCAGAUAUCCGGAGGAACACCAGUGGCGAAAGCGGCCUCCUGAGCCACUCCUGACACUCAGACGCGAAAGCUAGGGUAGCAAACG